ACGAAAACUUGCGAACACGUUCGAAAAUCUGCGUCGGGCGUCGGGGUAAAACCUGCGCCCCUCGCCACCUGCCCGGCCGAACGGCGACCCAACCGGUCUUUCGGUCGUGUCGGGCAACCGAAACAAAAACCGGCGCGGGAAGCGCCAAGGACUUUACGAAAUGGGAUGCCUUCCUGUGGAGAGGGGCCGUUCGCGGAUUCCUCGCCACGGGGCUUGARAGGCCCCCCCACCCUCGCCCCGAAAGGGUCGUGGGCAGAGCGGGGGGCGGAAGUUGGCUUCCCGUGCCUAGUCGCGGCCAGCCUAAAAAAUGGUUCCCUCGCCGCGGACGUCGCGACAAGUGGUGGUCGUCGAGAUUGAACGCGAGUCGCCGACAAGCCGCGUCGAGGAGAGCGCUUGGACCCUGUGCAUGUGAGUCCCUCGCCGAGGGACGACCGGCACGACCAGCGACCCCAG
RNAcentral lists this unclassified non-coding RNA (453 nucleotides) under Hoya montana. RNAcentral's name for it is "sequence contains 18S rRNA gene, ITS1, 5.8S rRNA gene, ITS2 and 28S rRNA gene". The record is from RNAcentral. Lineage: Eukaryota; Viridiplantae; Streptophyta; Magnoliopsida; Gentianales; Apocynaceae.